This 78-nucleotide transfer RNA is filed under the name bacterium. RNAcentral describes it as "tRNA-Pro". It matches the Rfam family "tRNA". From Rfam's summary of the family: Transfer RNA (tRNA) molecules are approximately 80 nucleotides in length. Their secondary structure includes four short double-helical elements and three loops (D, anti-codon, and T loops). The record is from RNAcentral.
CGGGGCGUAGCGCAGCCCGGUUAGCGCACCUGCUUCGGGAGCAGGGGGUCGGAGGUUCAAAUCCUCUCGCCCCGACCA